Molecule: ribosomal RNA, 27 nt
Filed under: Phoma haematocycla
Lineage: Eukaryota; Fungi; Ascomycota; Dothideomycetes; Pleosporales; Didymellaceae
Description: partial 28S ribosomal RNA
Source: RNAcentral
UUGACCUCGGAUCAAGUAGGGAUACCC